Long non-coding RNA from Dreissena polymorpha, 2626 nucleotides. RefSeq lists it as uncharacterized. The record is from RefSeq and is a predicted model, not a curated record. The transcript has 5 exons. NCBI's taxonomy places the organism in Eukaryota, Metazoa, Mollusca, Bivalvia, Myida, Dreissenidae.
AGUGUUUAAAUUAAACGUUAAAAAUGGCGAAAAAUGCAAAUUUUUCUGAUGUCAAAUGUAGUACACCAUACAUGGUUUUCCAAUAAAUAUGACGUCAUAAAGUGACGUGCAACAGUACAACAUGGCGGGCAAAGUCAGUUGACAGUUCUGCUGAUCGAUGUGGUAUCAACUGUGAUUUUAGGUUAUAAAGACGGUCACGUGGAUCAAUGAAAUAUAGAUUGCGGAAGAAAUCAGUUACUCUUGUUUAAUGUGGCUUGUUACCUGCAAAUAUCAAUACUUAGGUUCAUACAUCGACGAGAGAAGUUGAAAGAAGGCAGUGGGGGCUGGUUAUUGGGAAUUUUUUAAGCAAAGACGCAGUAGUGUAUAAAGUAUGUGACAAGACCAAAAGUUCAAGUAGCUUUGGCCAUCUUUAUCAUUCAGCAUGGGCAAUGUAUGAUGGAUGACAGGCGAAAAGCAGAAAUUUAAGAUCUGAUGAGACGUUUGAUAUCAAGUGUGACUGCUUUUUUUACGCUAAAUCGGACAAAAAGUUUAAGAUCAGAUGAGACGUUUGAUAUCAAGUGUGUCUGCUUUUUCUACGCUAAAUCGUAUAAAUCAGAUAUAAGGCGAGUAAAUCAGACAAAGAAAGUAUCGAAUAUCAAGAAGAAUGUCCUUGGACCAGAGUUAUGCAACAUGCUUCCGUUCAUACAUGCAUACACAGGUUGUGAUGCGAUUUCUAUGAUAUAUGGUAUCAGCAAAGAAGCCGUACUGAAGCUUUUCAGAACCAGUCCCAAUUGUUCAGACAGAUCAUUGAGAUAUUAAAUGAAGAAGAACCAGACGUUAACAAGAUAACAAAUCAUGGUACAGAGGCAAUAUUUUUUCUCAACAACGGUGAUACUUUAGACGGGCUCGAUAUCCUGAGAUUCUGGAAGUUUACCCAGAAGGUUUGCACAACUUGUCAAGCAAAACGGCUGCCUUUCGCUUUCAAUCACUGCGCACAUACCUACAGACACAGAUAUGGCGAGGGAACAACACACUGGAUGCAGUAGAUUUGGGUUGGGAUAUAUCCAACUACAAAUUAAUUCCAGUAAGGACACAUCUGUCUGCUCCUGAACCUCUACUCAAAGUAAUACGCUGUAAUUGCCAACAAAGUUGUGACUCACAACGAUAUACGUGUAGGAAACAUGGACUUGAUUGUUCACAAGAUUGUUCACAAGGCUGUGGGAACUGUCGAUGAAACUGUUCAAAUUCCUCCGACAUCAAUGAUCAUGAGGAAAUUGUGUCUGAAACCUGAACGUAUUAUAUGUACGACCUGUAUAAAGAUUUAAAAUUUUUAAAAGGAUUCGAUGCAUUUAUGAAAAUAUUUGAAAGCAUUCAGGUUUUUCAAUAAUUAUACACAUCAUUUAUUGGAAUGUUUACGUAGCAAAUGGCAUUGACACAUUAUAAUUGAUUCAAUAUGUAUAGAUUUAAAAUAGUUUAGAAUGCAGUACGUUUAGUGUGCGCAUAUAUAUUUAUCGUUUCAAAUAAGAAAAUGCCAGAUUUUCCAAUGAGUUUAUUUGAUUGUGGAUGUUUAUUUUCUAUAAUACGUAUCAAAAUAGAUCUGUAUAUGUGAACAACUUUGAAAUGCAAAAAUAUACUUUAAUCAUUCAUUAAAAAAUGAUUAAACUAUAUACAUGGUUUUUCGACACAAAUGACAAAAUUAUACGUUUUGUUAUAGUCCUAUCGUAUUUUUUGACGAAACAAUUUCUUUACACUCGUAUUAAUUACAUAAACAUGCAGAUGCUAUUCUUAAUGACGUUUCGCACAAAUCAGUGAUUUUUUUUUGCUUUUAUUUGUUACAGACUGUGCGAUUUGAAUUGGGAAAAUUAUCGCGAUAAACCAUGAAAUUGGGAAAAUAGUGCGAUAAACCAUAAAAUUAAGCAUUAUAAAUAUAAGUAACAGAAUUAAAAUUGCUUUUAAUUAAGUGCCUGUUCAGUUUUUUUUCUAGCCAUUUUGAGAAAUGGAGUCUGGUCAAAUUGAGAUUGUUUUAAUUGAUAAAAGUGGCAACUUUGGGACUUAUUUAUCAACAAAAAGGACUAAAUUAAAGUUAUAUAUUUUGUAGGAUGUUUAAAUAAAAAGUUGGGAUCUAGAGUUAAGAAAUCAUAAGUCAUAAGAGGCUUUUUAUUUGUUUUAAGAAAAUGAUCUUUUAUUGGGAAAUUUUCAUCAGCUUUUUGGGAAAAAAACAUAGAUCUUUCGAUUGGGAAGCAGCCAAAAAUCGGCGGUAAUUUUAAGCAAAAAAAUCACUGUAAAUAUUUAUCAAGUUAUCUUGUGAUUGAUAUUACUGGAGCCGAAAUUUUAAUUUUCUUGAGAGAGAAAAAAAUGCUCGCUUAAUUAACAUUGUUACAAUGUAUUCAAACCAAUUAUUACAAUACUAUAUCAUAUGUUUUCGCGACACUACAUAUCGUUUUACUCUUACAUGUUAUUCUUAUAUAGAGUUAAUAAUAAUCUUAAAUGACAUCAAAUCAGUAUAUGCCUUUUAAUUACAUAUUGAACAAAUCGAAAAUAUAGGCUUGGCAAAAAUAUGGUUUUCGCGAAUUUGUGUACAGUUAUUUUAAUAUGUAUUUGAUAUAAAAUGGGUAAAGUGAAUAUAUUAAAAGGAAUUGAAGUUAAA